Non-coding RNA from Poecilia reticulata (guppy), 810 nucleotides. The record is from RefSeq and is a predicted model, not a curated record. Lineage: Eukaryota; Metazoa; Chordata; Actinopteri; Cyprinodontiformes; Poeciliidae.
GCAAUUUUCAAGAUAAAUAACAGUAGAGUUUCCAGGGCAACCAAACAGCCAGUGGAGAUGCUGCCAAGGACAUCGGUGACGUAGACAAAUUCACUAAACACCCCCUCAGUCCAGCCAGCAAGAGUGAAUCCUUCAUGUGUGGGCACUGAGACAGCUUCACCAGCAGAACUCGCCCAAUGAUAGCUGCUCUCACAACAGAAGGAAGCAGCAAACGCGGAAGAGAAUCCACCUGCAACGUUAAAGAAGCUUUGGAGACGGUUUGUCUCAGACCUUGGAGAACACACUUCACUAUGUGAGGAAGCCAAGUGAGCUGCUGCAGCAGGGGGGAUAUGAAGUCCCAGUCCUCACUGCAGGAGUGUGUGUCCUUUCAAGCUACAGGAAGAAAGAAAAUCACUGCCUAAUUUGGAAACGAUGAGCUUGUUUUACUCGUGGCAUGUCUGACUGCUCGCAAAAAGCAACAUAUGAAUACGUACACAAUAGCCUGACCGCACAAGGAAGACGUUUUCUUUUAACAAUAGCAACAAUUGAUUUUGCAGUACAAUAAAUACAAUGACUGCUACAUUAUCAUUAUGCACUCAAAACUGUCCUUUUCCAUAAUGUUGCACAGCUUGACUUCUGUCAUAGGUACAAUAUCCUGUGAGUGAAACUAACAGAACUUUGAAGGAAUUUAAACACAAUACACCACCAUGUCGUUAAAAGACAACAAAAGGUCAGUCACACAAUUUAGUGACAGAAACUGCAUUUGUCUCAUUGGUGCAUAUAAUUUGUAUGCUGUAUAUAUUAUUUAUGGCCGUUAAGCAUAAACACAGU